GAUGAACGCUGGCGGCGUGCCUAAUACAUGCAAGUCGAGCGAACAGACGAGGAGCUUGCUCCUCUGACGUUAGCGGCGGACGGGUGAGUAACACGUGGAUAACCUACCUAUAAGACUGGGAUAACUUCGGGAAACCGGAGCUAAUACCGGAUAAUAUAUUGAACCGCAUGGUUCAAUAGUGAAAGACGGUUUUGCUGUCACUUAUAGAUGUAUCCGCGCCGCAUUAGCUAGUUGGUAAGGUAACGGCUUACCAAGGCGACGAUGCGUAGCCGACCUGAGAGGGUGAUCGGCCACACUGGAACGGAGACACGGGCCAGACUCCUACGGGAGGCAGCAGUAGGGAAUCUUCCGCAAUGGGCGAAAGCCUGACGGAGCAACGCCGCGUGAGUGAUGAAGGUCUUCGGAUCGUAAAACUCUGUUAUUAGGGAAGAACAAAUGUGUAAGUAACUAUGCACGUCUUGACGGUACCUAAUCAGAAAGCCACGGCUAACUACGUG
RNAcentral lists this ribosomal RNA (497 nucleotides) under uncultured bacterium. RNAcentral describes it as "partial 16S ribosomal RNA". It matches the Rfam family "Bacterial small subunit ribosomal RNA", at positions 28 to 507 of the family's 1533-position model. The record is from RNAcentral.